RNAcentral lists this ribosomal RNA (270 nucleotides) under uncultured archaeon. Its description in RNAcentral is "partial 16S ribosomal RNA". It matches the Rfam family "Archaeal small subunit ribosomal RNA", at positions 477 to 747 of the family's 1478-position model. The record is from RNAcentral.
CUGCAGCCCGAGUGGUGAUCGUUUUUAUUGGGCCUAAAGCGUCCGUAGCCGGUCUAGUAAAUCCUUGGAUAAAUCGUACAGCUUAACUGUACGGCUCCCGGGGAGACUGCUAGACUUGGGACUGGGAGAGGUCGGAGGUACUCCAGGGGUAGGGGUGAAAUCUUGUAAUCCUUGGGGGACCACCAGUGGCGAAGGCGUCCGACUAGAACGGGUCCGACGGUAAGGGACGAAGCCCUGGGGCGCGAACCGGAUUAGAUACCCGAGUAGUCC